UGGGGAAUCUUCCGCAAUGGACGAAAGUCUGACGGAGCAACGCCGCGUGAGUGAUGACGGCCUUCGGGUUGUAAAGCUCUGUUAAUCGGGACGAAUGGUUCUUGUGCGAAUAGUGCGAGGAUUUGACGGUACCGGAAUAGAAAGCCACGGCUAACUACGUGCCAGCAGCCGCGGUAAUACGUAGGUGGGAAGCGUUGUCCGGAAUUAUUGGGCGUAAAGCGCGCGCAGGCGGAUUGGUCAGUCUGUCUUAAAAGUUCGGGGCUUAACCCCGUGAUGGGAUGGAAACUGCCAAUCUAGAGUAUCGGAGAGGAAAGUGGAAUUCCUAGUGUAGCGGUGAAAUGCGUAGAUAUUAGGAAGAACACCAGUGGCGAAGGCGACUUUCUGGACGAAAACUGACGCUGAGGCGCGAAAGCCAGGGGAGCGAACGGG
This 429-nucleotide ribosomal RNA is filed under the name bacterium. RNAcentral describes it as "partial 16S ribosomal RNA". It matches the Rfam family "Bacterial small subunit ribosomal RNA", at positions 355 to 776 of the family's 1533-position model. The record is from RNAcentral.